CCACUUGGGAACAGGUGCUAAUACCCGGAUAAGAAAGCAGAUCGCAUGAUCAGCUUUUAAAAAGGGCGGCGUAAAGCUGUCGCUAUGGGGAUGGCCCCGCGGUGCAUUUAGCUAGUUGGUAAGGGUAAAGGGCUUUACCAAGGCGAUGAUGCAUAGCCCGAGUUGAGAGACUGAUCGGGCCACAUUGGGGACUGAGACACGGGCCCAAAACUCCUACGGGGAGGCAGCAGUAGGGAAUCUUCCACAAUGGACGCAAGUCUGAUGGAGCAACGCCGCGUGAGUGAAGUAAGGUUUUCGGAUCGUAAAGCUCUGUUGUUGGUGAAGAAGGAUAGAGGUAGUAACUGGUCCUUUAUUUGACGGUAAUCAACCAGAAGUCACGGCUAACUACGUGCCAGCAGCCGCGGUAAU
This 408-nucleotide ribosomal RNA is filed under the name uncultured Lactobacillus sp. Its description in RNAcentral is "bacterial SSU rRNA". It matches the Rfam family "Bacterial small subunit ribosomal RNA", at positions 146 to 524 of the family's 1533-position model. The record is from RNAcentral. Lineage: Bacteria; Bacillati; Bacillota; Bacilli; Lactobacillales; Lactobacillaceae.